This 753-nucleotide long non-coding RNA is filed under the name Panax ginseng (ginseng). RNAcentral's name for it is "long non-coding RNA (PGIN_LNC015547)". Lineage: Eukaryota; Viridiplantae; Streptophyta; Magnoliopsida; Apiales; Araliaceae. The record is from RNAcentral.
GGGAGGGGAGGGGUGGGGGCCAAGAAAAAGAAAAAUAAAGAAACCGGAUCAAAAUAGCAAAAAUCAUUAAUUAUUCAAUAGUAUUCUCACAGAAAGACUAGGAAACCAUAAACCAAUACACAACAAUGUUCUCCGGAUACUAAUGACAAUUCAAAAAAAUUGAGAUACUCAGUAACCGGACAUCUGGCCUGGGUACUGGGUAGUGAAAAAAAGUAAGGUUAUUGCGCUUUAAAAUUCAACAUACUCAGUUAAUAUUAAUGAGAAAAGUUAACUUACCCACCCAGUCAAAAAACAAAAGUUAAGUGUAUCGGGUAGCAGCAGGAGUUAACACAUUAAUCAGACUGGAUCAAAUUCAAAAUAUCACAUUAUACCCAAACAAUAAACUGCAACAAAGAUUCGAGAUAUGGGUCGGCUUACCGGGAAAAUUAGAUAACCGCGAUCUAAAUCCAAAAAACCUUAAUGGUUAGUUUAUGUCAAUAGCUGUGAAUAAAGAGACAAAGUAAAGCAGCGUCGGUACGAGAUAACGAUGGGAGACGAAUUCAUGAAACUGAUGACAGUUUGGGAAAGAUAGGCAGGGGAUGAUCAAAUCCGAUUCAAUUCGGCGUAGACCAAAGAGGAACAGAACAAUCCCUUUUUCUAUCUCCUCUCUCUCUCUCUCUGCUUCACACGCAGGUCCUUUGCACGUGAGAAGUGAGCUGCACCCACCCACGACAAUUACCCAGUAAAAACUUAAAAACCAAAUAUGAAUCAUAG